GGAAAAAGUCUUUGAUAAUCCCUAAAUAUAUAUCCAAAUUAAAAACCUAAUAAAAGUAAGUAAUUAUGUCUGAAAACACUGUUCUUAGUAAGUAGGGAACACACGAGCUGUAUAUAUUUAUAAAUAGGGCUGUAUAGGCAUCUAGUGCCUACACUGGUUUUACAGAUGAUUUUAUUUUUUCCACCAGGUGACACUAAUCUGCCUCAAGUCAAUGGAUUUUUAAGUACUUCUAAUUUUUAACUUAAGACUAUAGGGUAUUCUAUAGUCUUUGACUGUACACUGCGCAUCCAGUCAUGAAAGCAAUGACUGUAAAAUGCGCUCAAAUAAGUGAGAACAGAUGCUGAUUAUGACCAAAUACACUUAUAAGUACAUAUUUUUUUCAGCGCAUCCCGUACAGAGAUUCAAUGCGCAAUGCGUAUGGUUGCCAUGACAACAAGCCACGCUGGCUGCUGCUCCCUGCUGUCAUAAAGCCCUUGAAUAUUAUAUUUAUUUCACGAGUUUAUGUAAUAAAAUUUAUCUAACAUUUCUUUUUCUUUUUUUGAGUAAUAAUUGUAAUAUUUAAAGCAGCUGUGUUGUUUUAAGACAAAUUUCCGAUCAGUGGGUGUUCCAUUGUUUACGUCAUUAUGAUCGCUGCAUUCCAUUAGAACGUUCGGUGAGUAGGCUACUCUAUAAAUAUGAGUGCAGAGGAAUCAGGCAUUUUGUAGCGAGUUGUGGCGAGUUAUCGUGAGUAUACUUUUUACAAUUUGGACACCUGAAUUUUUAAUCAAUGUUUUCAUAACUUGGAGAAAAAUAUGCUCUGUGCUACACAGUGGAGGUUUGUGUGGAAAGUUUCAGAUAUGUAAAUUAGUAAUGAUCAAGACAAUAACUAUUAUAUAUAUUUAAUGAUAUUGAUAUAAUGAUAUUUAAUGAUGCAUUAUAAUCUCUCUAUAAACAUAACACUUUUCAGUAUAUUAUAACAGAACAAAUCUUGUGGUGCCAAAUCAAGAGUAUGACCAUUUUAAAUUAUUACUCCCGCCACCACUCCUUCAUUAUGAUUAACUCUGAAAGCUGAUACUGAAAACUUUGAUAGUUUAAUAUUACCUCUUACAAUGAUUAGAUAUGCAUGUAAAAGGGGGUAUAUACUUUUACAUUAUGAGCAUCUGAGUUAUGCACAUUAGUUGGUAAACAGUGUAUGAUGGACCCCCACUGGGCAUACACUGUUUUUAAAAAUAAUAAUAAUAAUAACUUUAGACAACCAACUUGCAGGCUCUUAUAUGUUUACUCAACUCAACUGUUUCCUUUCUGUUUUUCUGUCACAGUGUUUACAGAUAGAAAGACAAAGUCAGUGUAUUGUUCACUUAUUUGGAUCUUCUUUUAUCAUUACAUCGAACAUCAACAUGAGUUUGUUAACCAUCACCAAAAGUUUUCCCGAGAGUACAGUGCAGUCCUCAUCUCCUGAACUCUCAGAUGAGCUCACCGCUGCCCUCGCCGCAGGGCGAUGGUGGGCAAUAAUGGAGGUUUCUUCUCCUAUAUCUGAAGAGUCUGAGUAUGGGGACUUCACCUCAGUGCAGUGGUGGGGAACAAUGGAGGAAGGAGAAACUUCAUGCCCCAAGUCUCUGGUCUUCAGUGGUGAAUCUGAGAAGGCUGAGUCCCCGCACUCAGGCUUCCCAGCUGCAACACUGAAGACCAAGGAGCUGUGGAGGCAGAAGAAGACACAGGGUGCACCCGUGCCUCCCAGGUCCCAACAGGGAGCACCUGUGCAUGCAAAUACCAAGAAGAGGGACCACACCUCAUCCCUGGUCUUCAACUAUGCAUCUAAGAAGGCUGACUCUCCACACUCAGGCUUUACAGAUGCAACAAUGAAGACCACGGAGCAGCAGAGGAAGUGGAGGCAGAAGAAGCCUCAGGGAGCACCUGUGCUUGCUGAGUCUGAGAGGGCUGAGUGUGGGGACUCAGAAUUCUCUAAUGAAAUACUGAAGACCACUAAGCAGGGGAGGCAACAGCAAAGGAAGUGGACCGAGAAGAAACCUCAGGUAGCACCUGAGCCUGCUGGGUACCCGCAGGGACCAUCUGUGACCACUGGCUCUCAACGAAGAGGAAAGGUCAUGAUCCCCGAGCAUCUGAGGCAACAUCUGCUUAGGGCCGCUUCUGAACUGGAAGCACCUGUGCAAGCUAGGUCCCCACAGAGAGCACCAGUGCCCACAGCAUCUCCUCAACACACACCCAUGUGCACCAAGUCUCUACAGACAGAAGCUAUGCCUGCCCCAAAGGUGCCAAAACCAAAGAUCCCUGAGCAGCUGAGGCAAGAGCUGCUGCAGCAGAAGCCCAACGAGACCCAAGAGAGGCAAAGGCUCAAGAUACCUGAGCGACUGAGUCAGGAGUUGCUGCAGCUGUCGACUCGAGCCUCUUCUGUUCAAGGAGCACCUGCACCCAACAAGACCCCAGAGAGGCAAAGGCUCAAGAUACCUGAGCGACUGAGUCAGGAGCUGCUGCAGCUGUCGGCUCGAGCCUCUUCUGUUCAAGGAGCACCUGUGCCUCAAAAGACCCCAGAGAGGCAAAGACUAAAACUCCCUCAGCCGCUGAGGCAGGAACUCCUGCAGGUUUCGUCUUGUGCCUCUUCUGAGAAGGGAGCACCUGUGCCUCAAAAGACCCAAGAGAGGCAAAAGCUCAAGAUGCCUGAGCGACUGAGGAAGGAGUUGCUGCAGCAGAAGCAUCAAGCCUCUCCUGUACAGGGUGCUCCCAUGCCUUCCAAGUCCCCACAGGAAGCACCUUUACCUGACAGGAACCCUGUGCAUGCCGGGACCCCACAGGGAGCAGGAGUGUUUGCAGAGGCACUGUCCGCUGAGCCUCUGAAAGGAAUAACAGUUCCCUCCAGAACCAUGAAGACAAGAAAACGGAGGCUUGCUGAGCAUCAAAGCAUUCCUGUCUCUGCCACCCAGGCACUACCCAUGCCCUCCAGGACCUCAAGCGUGACGCCUGUGCAUUCUGGGACCCUACAGGGAGCACUUGUGACCAAAAGUUCCCCACAACAGGGAUCAAAUCCCAGAAUCACUGAGCAGCAGAGGCAGAAGCGGAGGGAGCAGUGGAGACAGCAGCAGAGACAGCGGAGGCAGCAGAAAGCAUCAGACAACGUCGAUGUGUGUGAGCCGCCUCCACAAAAAAAGCUGGGUGUGGAAAUCGAAAAGGUGCAGCUGAAGCUCAAACUGGGGAAGCAUCAAGCCCCAAAGCCCAGGACCCAGCUGACCCUGAAGAUGGAUCAUGCAGCUGUGGGUCAGCAGUCACCUCCAGAAAAAAAGCAGUGCAUGGCAAACAAAAUCAAAGCCCAGCAGUUGGGACCAAGCGGCUUAAAGCAUUUAUGUAGCAUAUUCAUAUGUUUAAUUGAAUAUUUGUAAAUAUUUAUUAUUAGUAUAUAUUGUGUUUGUACAUAUUUGAUAUGAUUGUAUGCAUAAUAAAAAAUAAAAUAUAAA
Cyprinus carpio carpio is the source of this 3446-nucleotide long non-coding RNA. The record is from Ensembl. NCBI's taxonomy places the organism in Eukaryota, Metazoa, Chordata, Actinopteri, Cypriniformes, Cyprinidae.